UACGUAGGUGGCAAGCGAUACUCGGAAUCACUAGGCGUAAAGCGCAGGUAGGCGGUUUGGUAAGUCUUUUGUGAAAGCUCCCGGCUUAACUGGGAGAGGCCAAGGGAAACUACCAGGCUAGAGUGUGGCAGAGGAAGCUGGAAUUCCCGGUGUAGCGGUGAAAUGCGUAGAUAUUGGGAAGAACACCGGUGGCGAAGGCGGCGACCUGGUCCUUGACUGACGCUGAGGCGCGAAAGCGUGGGGAGCAAACAGG
Molecule: ribosomal RNA, 253 nt
Filed under: uncultured bacterium
Lineage: Bacteria
Description: partial 16S ribosomal RNA
Rfam family: Bacterial small subunit ribosomal RNA
Source: RNAcentral